AAAGAUACAGAUACAGUUCACAGAUAAUGAAACUGAUCACAUCUGAUCACUGAUCACAUCUCUGUACACAGCACUCAUAUCAAUGCAAAGAGGAUCAUCAGACCCCUGGAAGCUCCCCUCUGCUCUCCCUGUCUGUCACUACUCACAGAGUAAACGCAGCUAUGACCUCUGCCAGCACACGUUGUUAUUGUCUGUUUGGUAUUUAAUGUAAAGAUAAUAAUAGAGCAUUUAAAGUCAAAUUUCUAUUUGACUUUUUUCAUUUAAGUGGAGAAUUUAUGAUUGCAUGUUGUCGUGGCCCAUCCACUGGCAAAUUGCUGUAUAGAAUUCCAUUUUAGAAAUAUCAAACUAUCAUUCCAUUAUGACCAAGAGUGGAUCAAGAGAAACAGGAUUUAAGAAUGAGUUUUCUGAAUUGGUUCUUGGGUUUCUAGAAAUGGCUUUAUAAUUUGAUUAGAUUUUAAAAUCCAAAAGAAGGGUGCUGGGUGGCUCAGUUGGUUAAGCAUCUGCCUUUAGCUCAUGUUGUGAUC
This is a long non-coding RNA of Mustela erminea (ermine), 524 nucleotides long. RefSeq lists it as uncharacterized. NCBI's taxonomy places the organism in Eukaryota, Metazoa, Chordata, Mammalia, Carnivora, Mustelidae. The transcript has 3 exons. The record is from RefSeq and is a predicted model, not a curated record.